Molecule: long non-coding RNA, 1168 nt
Organism: Scophthalmus maximus (turbot)
Lineage: Eukaryota; Metazoa; Chordata; Actinopteri; Pleuronectiformes; Scophthalmidae
Exons: 2
Source: RefSeq, a predicted model, not a curated record
UUCUGAAUCUCUAACAUAAUUUAAAAACGGGAGACUACAUAAUUUAGAGGACAGCAGGUGGAUGAAUCCUCUUCAAAAUGGAUACCGUUAACAGGCUCAGCAGCUCGAUUGUUGUGUGUGUGUGUGUGUGUGUGUGUGUGUGUGUGAGAGGUUACCCACCAGCCGCUACUGCAAACACUGACAUUAUACCGCUAUGGAUCAACCAACAGCCGGGACCAGACCCUGCAGCUGUGGAGGGGAACUCUACAGAGGAAAGACAUGAUGUCAGGAACUGACAGACACAAGGAUAUUGACUUUAUGCUUGAGGAAAAGGAACAUAAAAGGAUAGGGUGUUAGAAUAACAAACAAAAAAGACUGUGGCCAUGUCCUUACUUCUGUACUUUGCCGGAUCUGGUCCAGAAACAUCUGAGGCCGUUCAGACAGGGCCCCCUGCAGGACAGAAACGGCAGAGGGAUUAGGGCAGGCACUCUUAUUACUCUCACACAGGAGUGAUGGUUGUAAGGGCCUCAGCCUGAGCUCUCUGGACUUUCUCCUCACUCACUAUGAGCAUCCAUGCUGUCCUGAGGACAGGCAGGUGUCUACAGCUGAGCACGUGUCUCUAUAUAAGGAUCAUGCACCUUUUUCUCCAGAACAGCAUAGCCUGCAUCCGCACUGGCAGACUCUCGACGGUCGUCUAGGCGACUGUGGCCGGGUGCCCUGGUGAAACCAGGAGGCAAAGUUGUAGAGCCGACGGCGGGGGAGGAGGACACAGAACGCAUGUUCUCCUUGUGUCGGUUGAGACUCUUAGCCCAGCGCUCCAUAUCUUUGGCAAUCUAUCAACACGUACACCAAGAAAUACGAGUUACUCAGUUAAACUGAUUCAAACAGAGGAAAAUUUACAAUUUGUGAAUACAAUACCAUUAACACCUUCACAAUAAAAUGCAAUGCAAACAACCAGAGCCGUGCAAUAAAUACCACCUCUGUCAUUAUUUGUUGAGAAUAUGUCAUUGGUGUAAAAUAACAUAAUUUUGGUUGCAAGUGUGUUAACGUGUAAACAAAAACACAAAGGAAAGCAAAACAAAAACCCAAACAGACGUGUGCAUUCUCUAUAUUAUUGUAAAGUGUCAAUUUGACUCUGUUAAGUGCCUUGUGAUGAAAUUAAUUAAAUAAAAUUCAUUGGUCAGUUUCA